This 239-nucleotide ribosomal RNA is filed under the name uncultured bacterium. RNAcentral's name for it is "partial 16S ribosomal RNA". It matches the Rfam family "Bacterial small subunit ribosomal RNA", at positions 15 to 236 of the family's 1533-position model. The record is from RNAcentral.
GAUCCUGGCUCAGGAUGAACGCUGGCGGCGUGCUUAACACAUGCAAGUCGAGCGAAGCACCUAAGAAAGAUUCUUCGGAUGAAUUCUUUUGUGACUGAGCGGCGGACGGGUGAGUAACGCGUGGGUAACCUGCCUCAUACAGGGGGAUAACAGUUAGAAAUGACUGCUAAUACCGCAUAAGACCACGGUACCGCAUGGUACAGUGGUAAAAACUCCGGUGGUAUGAGAUGGACCCGCGU